This 457-nucleotide ribosomal RNA is filed under the name salal root associated fungus UBCtra1322.8. Its description in RNAcentral is "eukaryotic LSU rRNA". It matches the Rfam family "Eukaryotic large subunit ribosomal RNA", at positions 107 to 565 of the family's 3401-position model. The record is from RNAcentral. Lineage: Eukaryota; Fungi; Basidiomycota; Agaricomycetes; Sebacinales; Sebacinaceae.
GCUCAAAUUUUGAAUCUGGUGUCUUUGACCCCCGAGUUGUAAUCUAGAGAAGUGUUUUCCGUGUCGGACCGUGCACAAGUUCCCUGGAACGGGGCGUCAUAGAGGGUGAGAAUCCCGUAUAUGGCACAGACUGCCGAUGCUUUUGUGAUACACUCUCAACGAGUCGAGUUGUUUGGGAAUGCAGCUCAAAAUGGGUGGUAAAUUCCAUCUAAAGCUAAAUAUUGGCGAGAGACCGAUAGCGAACAAGUACCGUGAGGGAAAGAUGAAAAGCACUUUGGAAAGAGAGUGAAACAGUACGUGAAAUUGUUGAAAGGGAAGCGUUUGAAGUCAGUCGUAUCUGGCGGGAUUCAGCUGGGCUUUUGCCCGGUGUACUUUUCGUCCGAUGGGUCAGCAUCAAUUUCGAUCGGGGGAAAAAGAUGUGGGGAAUGUGGCUGUCUUCGGGCAGUGUUAUAGCCCC